This 254-nucleotide ribosomal RNA is filed under the name uncultured prokaryote. RNAcentral's name for it is "partial 16S ribosomal RNA". It matches the Rfam family "Bacterial small subunit ribosomal RNA", at positions 355 to 613 of the family's 1533-position model. The record is from RNAcentral.
UGAGGAAUUUUGCGCAAUGGGGGAAACCCUGACGCAGCAACGCCGCGUGGGUGAUGAAGGCCUUCGGGUCGUAAAGCCCUGUCGGGCGGGAAGAACGUCCCUUCGGGGAAUGACGGUACCGCCAGAGGAAGCACCGGCUAACCCCGUGCCAGCAGCCGCGGUACUACGGAGGGUGCACGCGUUAUUCGGAAUGACUGGGCGUAAAGGGCGUGCAGGCGGGAGAGCAAGUCUGAUGUGAAAGCCCGGGGCUUAAC